RNAcentral lists this small RNA (584 nucleotides) under Pan troglodytes (chimpanzee). RNAcentral describes it as "processed transcript". The record is from RNAcentral. Lineage: Eukaryota; Metazoa; Chordata; Mammalia; Primates; Hominidae.
AGGGUUGGCACUGGGCCCCAGGGGCUUCUGUCCCUAGAGCCCAUGGCCUCCACUGCCUGCCUGCCCAUACAAAGACCAUGUGCAAUGUGAUCAGAAGUUGAGAGGACCAGGCCAGAGGGCUGUGGGAGUUCAGAGGUGGAUGGACUUUUCAGGCUGAAGCCCAAGUACCAGGUCCGCUGGAAGAUCAUCGAGAGCUAUGAGGGCAACAGUUAUACUUUCAUCGACCCCACGCAGCUGCCUUACAAUGAGAAGUGGGAGUUCCCCCGGAACAACCUGCAGUUUGGUAAGACCCUCGGAGCUGGAGCCUUUGGGAAGGUGGUGGAGGCCACGGCCUUUGGUCUGGGCAAGGAGGAUGCUGUCCUGAAGGUGGCUGUGAAGAUGCUGAAGUCCACGGCCCAUGCUGAUGAGAAGGAGGCCCUCAUGUCUGAGCUGAAGAUCAUGAGCCACCUGGGACAGCACGAGAACAUCGUCAACCUUCUGGGAGCCUGUACCCAUGGAGGCCCUGUACUGGUCAUCACGGAGUACUGUUGCUAUGGCGACCUGCUCAACUUUCUGCGAAGGAAGGCUGAGGCCAUGCUGGGACC